This 396-nucleotide ribosomal RNA is filed under the name Theileria ovis. RNAcentral describes it as "bacterial SSU rRNA". It matches the Rfam family "Eukaryotic small subunit ribosomal RNA", at positions 459 to 924 of the family's 1831-position model. The record is from RNAcentral. Lineage: Eukaryota; Apicomplexa; Aconoidasida; Piroplasmida; Theileriidae.
GGGAAGUAGUGACAACACAGGGUAGGAUACCUGCACUCCCAAAGUGGCAAGUUGGUAGGGCAAGUCUGGAGCCAGCAGCCGCGGCUAAUUCCAGCUCCAAUAGCGUAUAUUAAAAUUGUUGCAGUUAAAAAGCUCGUAGUUGAAUUUCUGCUGCAUUGCUUUUGCUCCUUUACGAGUCUUUGCAUUGUGGCUUAUUUCGGACUUUGUUUUACAAUGUCCGGAUGUUUACUUUGAGAAAAUUAGAGUGCUCAAAGCAGGCUUUCGCCUUGAAUAGUUUAGCAUGGAAUAAUAAAGUAGGACUUUGGUUCUAUUUUGUUGGUUUUAGGUACCAAAGUAAUGGUUAAUAGGAACAGUUGGGGGCAUUCGUAUUUAACUGUCAUAUGUGAAAUUCUUAGA